Molecule: non-coding RNA, 21 nt
Filed under: Caenorhabditis elegans
Lineage: Eukaryota; Metazoa; Nematoda; Chromadorea; Rhabditida; Rhabditidae
Source: RNAcentral
UAUACAGCUUAACUACCGAUC